RNAcentral lists this ribosomal RNA (553 nucleotides) under Escherichia coli. Its description in RNAcentral is "bacterial SSU rRNA". It matches the Rfam family "Bacterial small subunit ribosomal RNA", at positions 980 to 1533 of the family's 1533-position model. The record is from RNAcentral. Lineage: Bacteria; Pseudomonadati; Pseudomonadota; Gammaproteobacteria; Enterobacterales; Enterobacteriaceae.
CUUGACAUCCACGGAAGUUUUCAGAGAUGAGAAUGUGCCUUCGGGAACCGUGAGACAGGUGCUGCAUGGCUGUCGUCAGCUCGUGUUGUGAAAUGUUGGGUUAAGUCCCGCAACGAGCGCAACCCUUAUCCUUUGUUGCCAGCGGUCCGGCCGGGAACUCAAAGGAGACUGCCAGUGAUAAACUGGAGGAAGGUGGGGAUGACGUCAAGUCAUCAUGGCCCUUACGACCAGGGCUACACACGUGCUACAAUGGCGCAUACAAAGAGAAGCGACCUCGCGAGAGCAAGCGGACCUCAUAAAGUGCGUCGUAGUCCGGAUUGGAGUCUGCAACUCGACUCCAUGAAGUCGGAAUCGCUAGUAAUCGUGGAUCAGAAUGCCACGGUGAAUACGUUCCCGGGCCUUGUACACACCGCCCGUCACACCAUGGGAGUGGGUUGCAAAAGAAGUAGGUAGCUUAACCUUCGGGAGGGCGCUUACCACUUUGUGAUUCAUGACCGGGGUGAAGUCGUAACAAGGUAACCGUAGGGGAACCUGCGGUUGGAUCACCUCCUUA